RNAcentral lists this long non-coding RNA (242 nucleotides) under Mytilus galloprovincialis (Mediterranean mussel). The record is from RNAcentral. Lineage: Eukaryota; Metazoa; Mollusca; Bivalvia; Mytilida; Mytilidae.
AAAAAAUCGAAAAUUGGACGUUUGAAACCCACAUUUAAAUUUCCAAGACUAACAACUAUAUUCACCAACUUUAAUAUCCGGUAAUACAAGAGAUUAAAUGCAUGUAUCAGUAUCAGAUCUUAUGAAUAAGAUGUUGUUGCCGAACAACAUUAACCUUCAGAAACACCAUCCGUCUGAAUGGAAAAUUGUUUGAAAUAACCUUUCACGCCGCUUUUGAUAGGAAAGGCUUUUUUUGUCCUCUG